This 252-nucleotide ribosomal RNA is filed under the name uncultured bacterium. RNAcentral describes it as "partial 16S ribosomal RNA". It matches the Rfam family "Bacterial small subunit ribosomal RNA", at positions 524 to 776 of the family's 1533-position model. The record is from RNAcentral.
UACGUAGGGCGCAAGCGUUGUCCGGAAUUAUUGGGCGUAAAGAGCGUGUAGGCGGCCCGGUAAGUCCGCUGUGAAAGUCGGGGGCUCAACCCUCGAAUGCCGGUGGAUACUGUCGGGCUAGAGUGCGGUAGGGGAGAUUGGAAUUCCUGGUGUAGCGGUGGAAUGCGCAGAUAUCAGGAGGAACACCGAUGGCGAAGGCAGAUCUCUGGGCGUAACUGACGCUGAGGAGCGAAAGCGUGGGGAGCGAACAGG